GCCUCAUUAACUCAGGGGCAGAGCAGUAGUUUCGUAAACUGAAGGUCGUGAAUUCGAAUCUCUCAUGAGGCU
Molecule: transfer RNA, 72 nt
Filed under: Paramuricea clavata
Lineage: Eukaryota; Metazoa; Cnidaria; Anthozoa; Malacalcyonacea; Plexauridae
Rfam family: tRNA
About the family: Transfer RNA (tRNA) molecules are approximately 80 nucleotides in length.
Source: Rfam by way of RNAcentral